Molecule: ribosomal RNA, 253 nt
Filed under: uncultured bacterium
Lineage: Bacteria
Description: partial 16S ribosomal RNA
Rfam family: Bacterial small subunit ribosomal RNA
Source: RNAcentral
UACGAAGGGAGCUAGCGUUACUCGGAAUCACUGGGCGUAAAGCGUAUGUAGGCGGAACUACAAGUCAGAGGUGAAAUCCCCAGGCUCAACCUGGGAAUUGCCUUUGAAACUGUAGUUCUUGAGUGUGGUAGAGGAUGGUGGAAUUUCCAGUGUAGAGGUGAAAUUCGUAGAUAUUGGAAAGAACACCGGUGGCGAAGGCGACCAUCUGGGCCAUUACUGACGCUGAGAUACGAAAGCGUGGGGAGCAAACGGG